AACGAACGCUGGCGGCAGGCCUAACACAUGCAAGUCGAGCGAGGACUUCGGUCCUAGCGGCGGACGGGUGAGUAACGCGUGGGAACGUGCCCUUUGCUUCGGAAUAGCCCUGGGAAACUGGGAGUAAUACCGGAUGAGCCCUUUGGGGGAAAGAUUUAUCGGCGAAGGAUCGGCCCGCGUUGGAUUAGGUAGUUGGUGGGGUAAUGGCCUACCAAGCCGACGAUCCAUAGCUGGUUUGAGAGGAUGAUCAGCCACACUGGGACUGAGACACGGCCCAGACUCCUACGGGAGGCAGCAGUGGGGAAUCUUAGACAAUGGGGGAAACCCUGAUCUAGCCAUGCCGCGUGAGCGAUGAAGGCCUUAGGGUUGUAAAGCUCUUUCAGCUGGGAAGAUAAUGACGGUACCAACAGAAGAAGCCCCGGCUAACUCCGUG
This 433-nucleotide ribosomal RNA is filed under the name uncultured bacterium. Its description in RNAcentral is "partial 16S ribosomal RNA". It matches the Rfam family "Bacterial small subunit ribosomal RNA", at positions 29 to 507 of the family's 1533-position model. The record is from RNAcentral.